AUACGCGAGGAACCUUACCAGGGCUUAAAUGUAGUCUGACAGCUUUAGAGAUAGAGUUUUCUUCGGACAGAUUACAAGGUGUUGCAUGGCUGUCG
RNAcentral lists this ribosomal RNA (95 nucleotides) under uncultured marine bacterium. RNAcentral describes it as "partial small subunit ribosomal RNA". The record is from RNAcentral.